Molecule: ribosomal RNA, 847 nt
Filed under: uncultured archaeon
Lineage: Archaea
Description: bacterial SSU rRNA
Rfam family: Archaeal small subunit ribosomal RNA
Source: RNAcentral
UCGACUGCUAUUUGGGUGAGAAUAAGCCAUGCGAGUUGAAUGGGAUACCUAAAGUUCCCAUAGCAAACUGCUCAGUAACACAUGAUCAACUUACCCUAUAGAGAAAAAUAACCUCGGGAAACUGAGGAUAAUGUUUCAUAGUUGAAAAGGCUUGGAAAAGUUUUUCGACCAAAGGGAUAAGAAAAAUGGUUUUUAUCCGCUAUAGGAUAGGAUCGUGGUCGAUUAUGGUCGUUGGUGAGGUAAUGGCUCACCAAGCCGAUAAUCGAUAGGGGCCGGGAGAGCGGGAGCCCCGAGAUGGGUACUGAGACAGCGACCCAGGCCUUACGAGGCGCAGCAGGCGCGGAACCUCCGCAAUACACGAAAGUGUGACGGGGUUACCCAAAGUGUUCAAUUUUGAACUGUGGUAGGUGAGUAAUGUUCCCUACUAGAAAGGAGAGGGCAAGGCUGGUGCCAGCCGCCGCGGUAAAACCAGCUCUUCAAGUGGUCGGGAUAAUUAUUGGGCUUAAAGUGUCCGUAGCCGGUUUAGUAAGUUCCUGAUAAAAUCGGGUAGCUUAACUAUCUGUAUGCUAGGAAUACUGCUAUACUAGAGGACGGGAGAGGUCUGAGGUACUACAGGGGUAGGGGUGAAAUCUUAUAAUCCUUGUAGGACCACCAGUGGCGAAGGCGUCAGACUGGAACGUGCCUGACGGUGAGGGACGAAAGCCAGGGGAGCGAACCGGAUUAGAUACCCGGGUAGUCCUGGCCGCAAACGAUGCAUACUAGGUGAUGGCAUGGCCAUGAGCCGUGUCAGUGCCGUAGGGAAACCGUUAAGUGUGCCGCCUGGGAAGUACGGUCGCAAGGCUAAAAC